CCCCAAUUGCCUAACCCUUACAACUCUUUUGCUUUAGAACUGAUAUUUAGCAGAAAUUUUAAGAUACAAGGUAAGAAGAAAGAAAGAAAGAAAGAAAGAAAGAAAGAAAGAAAGAAAGAAAGAAAGAAAGAAAGAAAGAAAGAAAGAAAGAAAGAAAGAAAGAAAGAAAGAAAGAAAGAAAGAAAGAAAGAAAGAAAGAAAGAAAGAAAGAAAGAAAGAAAGAAAGAAAGAAAGGAAGAGAGAGAGAGAGAAGAAAAAAGAAAGAAAGAGAAAGGAAGGAAGGAAGGAAGGAAGGAAGGAAGGAAGGAAGGAAGGAAGGAAGGAAGGAAGGAAGGAAGGAAGGAAGGAAGGAAGGAAGGAAGGAAAGAAGGAAGGAAGGAAGGAAGGAAGGAGGGAGGGGAGGGAGGGAAGGAGGGAAGGAGGGAGGGAGGAAGGAAAGAAGGAAGGAAGAAAAUUCUCAUAGCUUGAGGAGGAAGGAGAUAAAUGAUCUUGUGAAAAGUGCCCACCUGCACACAGAUUAUAUUUGACUCUUGUCACUCAUUAUGCAAUGCAGAUCUCAAGUCACACUACAGAGCUACUGAGGACAAAGAUCAAAGGUUUUAUAGAAAGGAGGAAGAGGAGGUAUCUAGCUACUGUAC
Molecule: long non-coding RNA, 638 nt
Filed under: Monodelphis domestica (gray short-tailed opossum)
Lineage: Eukaryota; Metazoa; Chordata; Mammalia; Didelphimorphia; Didelphidae
Description: lncRNA (ENSMODG00000051504.1)
Source: RNAcentral